Molecule: non-coding RNA, 272 nt
Organism: Leptonychotes weddellii (Weddell seal)
Lineage: Eukaryota; Metazoa; Chordata; Mammalia; Carnivora; Phocidae
Source: RefSeq, a predicted model, not a curated record
AUGAAGUGCUUUGUUUUGACAGCAUUGUUAUUCCUGUCUACCUAGAUUAUGACUCCAGAGGAAGAACCCUGUUGGUCUCACUGUCGCUGGGGCAAUCUGUAACAUCCAGGAGUCCAACAUGCAAUACAAUGAAACUCCUAAUCACCUUGGCUUCAUAGUUUCCUGGAUCCAUCUUUGCAUGGGCUUCAGAAUAUCCAACCAGCAAAAGAUGUGCCAUUCCAUGGAAAAAAUGUCCAAAGCUAGAACAGGUUACUGUUUUUUUUCAAGUGAAU